RNAcentral lists this ribosomal RNA (429 nucleotides) under uncultured bacterium. RNAcentral's name for it is "bacterial SSU rRNA". It matches the Rfam family "Bacterial small subunit ribosomal RNA", at positions 355 to 775 of the family's 1533-position model. The record is from RNAcentral.
UGGGGAAUUGUUCGCAAUGGGCGCAAGCCUGACGACGCAACGCCGCGUGGAGGACGAAGAUUUUCGGAUCGUAAACUCCUUUCGAUCGGGAAGAACAGCUUUUGGGUUAACAGCCUGAGAGUCUGACGGUACCGAGAGAAGAAGCCCCGGCUAACUCUGUGCCAGCAGCCGCGGUAAUACAGGGGGGGCAAGCGUUGUUCGGAAUUACUGGGCGUAAAGGGGUUGUAGGCGGCCAACUAAGUCCGACGUGAAAUCCCAAAGCUUAACUUUGGAACUGCGUCGGAUACUGGAUGGCUUGAAUUCGGGAGAGGGAUGCAGAAUUCCAGGUGUAGCGGUGAAAUGCGUAGAUAUCUGGAGGAAUACCGGUGGCGAAGGCGGCAUCCUGGACCGACAUUGACGCUGAAAACCGAAAGCUAGGGGAGCAAACGG